CCUACGGGGGGCAGCAGUAAGGAAUAUUGGUCAAUGGGCGGAAGCCUGAACCAGCCAUGCCGCGUGCAGGAAGACGGCCUACGGGUUGUAAACUGCUUUUGCAGGGGAAUAUGUACUCUGAGAAUAAGGAUCGGCUAACUCCGUGCCAGCAGCCGCGGUAAUACGGAGGAUCCGAGCGUUAUCCGGAUUUAUUGGGUUUAAAGGGUGCGUAGGCGGCCUUGUAAGUCAGGGGUGAAAGACGGUAGCUUAACUAUCGCAGUGCCUUUGAUACUGCAGGGCUUGAAUGUACAUGAGGUAGGCGGAAUGUGACAAGUAGCGGUGAAAUGCAUAGAUAUGUCACAGAACACCAAUUGCGAAGGCAGCUUACUAAGUUGAUUGACGCUGAGGCACGAAAGCGUGGGGAUCAAACAGGAUUAGAUACCCUUGUAGUC
RNAcentral lists this ribosomal RNA (431 nucleotides) under uncultured bacterium. Its description in RNAcentral is "partial 16S ribosomal RNA". It matches the Rfam family "Bacterial small subunit ribosomal RNA", at positions 338 to 795 of the family's 1533-position model. The record is from RNAcentral.